This 1029-nucleotide long non-coding RNA is filed under the name Cricetulus griseus (Chinese hamster). Its description in RNAcentral is "lncRNA (ENSCGRG00015034557.1)". Lineage: Eukaryota; Metazoa; Chordata; Mammalia; Rodentia; Cricetidae. The record is from RNAcentral.
CUCAGAUGCUCAAGCCACUGCCUCUUCCUGCUGCCUGGGGAUCCAGAUGUAGAACUCUCAGCUCCUUAUCCAGCACCAUUCUGCCUGCGUGCAUCCAUGCUUCCUGCUAUGAAGAUAAUGGACUAAACCUCUGAACCUGUAAACCAGCCCCAUAGCCCUCAUCCAGUGACUGAUGGAAGCAGAGGCAAAUAUCCACAGAUAUACACUGAACUGAACUCUGGAACCUAGUUGCAGAGAGGGAGGAAUGGUACCAGGCUGGUGAAACCCACAGAAUCAGCUGGCCUGAACAAGGGGGAGCACAUGGACCACAGACUGCUGUCUGGGAGGCCAGCACAGGUCUGAAUCAGACCCCUGAACAUGGAUGUCAAUGAGGAGGCCUCCACACUCUACUGGUCCCCUGGUAGUGGAUUAGUAUUUUUCCCUGGGAAGGGACUUUGAGAGUCCAUCCCACAUGAAGGAAUGCACUCUUGGCCUGGACACAUGGGGAAGGGCAUAGGCUCGGCCCAGGAUGAUGUGGUGGACUUGAGGAGCCCCGUCGAUGGCCCUACCCUGCUUGGGUAGUUGAGGGUGGAUGGGUUUGGAGGCAGGUACUGGCUUGGUGGGAGGUUGGGGGAGAGGAGGAAGAAGGGAUUGACACGUGAAGCAAGCUUGUUCCUAAUUUGAACUAAAAAAAAAAAUAAAAAAAAUAGUGUCAUAUCAAAAAAAGGACACAUAGUGGGGCUGGAGUGAUGGUGCAAUGGUUAAGAGCACUGGCUAUUCUUCCAGAGGAUCCAGGAUGGAUUUUAAGCACUCACAUGACAGCUAGAAACUGCCCGUUAACUCCAGUUCUAGGGUAUCUGACACCUUCACACAGACAUACAUGCAGGCAAAACACAAAUGCACAUGAGAUAAAAUAAAAUUAUUUUUUUCUCCAUUUUUUUAUUUAAAUUAGAAACAAGAUUGUUUUACAUGUCAAUCCCAGGUCCCUCUCCCUCCCCCUUCCCCUGACCCCACUAACCCCCUACCUAUACCAUACCAUUUCUGCUCCCC